Non-coding RNA from Chelonoidis abingdonii (Abingdon island giant tortoise), 132 nucleotides. Lineage: Eukaryota; Metazoa; Chordata; Testudines; Testudinidae. The record is from RefSeq and is a predicted model, not a curated record.
UUGGCCAGGAAUGGCGAACUGUGGCCACUGGGAGCUGCGGGGGGCCGUGCCUGCCGAUAGUCAACGUCAGCAAAAUCUCUCGUGGCCCAGAAUCAGAUUACUCUGAUGGGUCACAUGUUGCCCACCACUGUU